RNAcentral lists this ribosomal RNA (924 nucleotides) under Bacillus subtilis. RNAcentral's name for it is "bacterial SSU rRNA". It matches the Rfam family "Bacterial small subunit ribosomal RNA", at positions 68 to 961 of the family's 1533-position model. The record is from RNAcentral. Lineage: Bacteria; Bacillati; Bacillota; Bacilli; Caryophanales; Bacillaceae.
UACGGGGUAGAGCUUUGGCUCCCUGAAUGUUAGCGGCGGACGGGUGAGUAACACGUGGGUAACCUGCCUGUAAGACUGGGAUAACUCCGGGAAACCGGGGCUAAUACCGGAUGGUUGUUUGAACCGCAUGGUUCAGACAUAAAAGGUGGCUUCGGCUACCACUUACAGAUGGACCCGCGGCGCAUUAGCUAGUUGGUGAGGUAACGGCUCACCAAGGCGACGAUGCGUAGCCGACCUGAGAGGGUGAUCGGCCACACUGGGACUGAGACACGGCCCAGACUCCUACGGGAGGCAGCAGUAGGGAAUCUUCCGCAAUGGACGAAAGUCUGACGGAGCAACGCCGCGUGAGUGAUGAAGGUUUUCGGAUCGUAAAGCUCUGUUGUUAGGGAAGAACAAGUGCCGUUCAAAUAGGGCGGCACCUUGACGGUACCUAACCAGAAAGCCACGGCUAACUACGUGCCAGCAGCCGCGGUAAUACGUAGGUGGCAAGCGUUGUCCGGAAUUAUUGGGCGUAAAGGGCUCGCAGGCGGUUUCUUAAGUCUGAUGUGAAAGCCCCCGGCUCAACCGGGGAGGGUCAUUGGAAACUGGGGAACUUGAGUGCAGAAGAGGAGAGUGGAAUUCCACGUGUAGCGGUGAAAUGCGUAGAGAUGUGGAGGAACACCAGGUGGCGAAGGCGACUCUCUGGUCUGUAACUGACGCUGAGGAGCGAAAGCGUGGGGGAGCGAACAGGAUUAGAUACCCUGGUAGUCCACGCCGUAACGAUGAGUGCUAAGUGUUAGGGGGUUUCCGCCCCCUUAGUGCUGCAGCUAACGCAAUUAAGCACUCCGCCCUGGGGAGUACGGGUCGCAAGACUGAAACCUCAAGGAAUUGAACAGGGGGCCGCAACAAGCCGGUUGGAGCAUGGGUGGGUUUAUAAAUUUUUCG